ACCGGAUGCCUACAAACAGUCGGAGCCCGCAAGGGUGACGGCGUACCUUUUGUAUAAUGGGUCAACGACUUAGUGUAACUAGCAAGCUUAAGCCGGUAGGUGUAGGCGCAGCGAAAGCGAGUCUGAAUAGGGCGAUUGAGUUAGUUGCAUUAGACCCGAAACCGAGUGAUCUAGCCAUGAGCAGGCUGAAGGUUGGGUAACACCAACUGGAGGGCCGAACCCAUAACUGUUGCAAUAGUUCGGGAUGACUUGUGG
Molecule: ribosomal RNA, 255 nt
Filed under: Agrobacterium pusense
Lineage: Bacteria; Pseudomonadati; Pseudomonadota; Alphaproteobacteria; Hyphomicrobiales; Rhizobiaceae
Description: partial 23S ribosomal RNA
Rfam family: Bacterial large subunit ribosomal RNA
Source: RNAcentral